AUUGAACGCUGGCGGCAUGCCUUACACAUGCAAGUCGAACGGUAACAGGUCUUCGGAUGCUGACGAGUGGCGGACGGGUGAGUAAUACAUCGGAACGUGCCCGACCGUGGGGGAUAACGAAGCGAAAGCUUUGCUAAUACCGCAUACGAUCUACGGAUGAAAGCAGGGGACCGCAAGGCCUUGCGCGAACGGAGCGGCCGAUGGCGGCUUAGGUAGUUGGUGGGGUAAAAGCUUACCAAGCCGACGAUCUGUAGCUGGUCUGAGAGGACGACCGGCCACACUGGGACUGAGCCACGGCCCAGACUCCUACGGGAGGCAGCAGUGGGGAAUGUUGGACAAUGGGCGAAAGCCUGAUCCAGUCAUGCCGCGUGCAGGAUGAAGGCCUUCGGGUUGUAAACUGCUUUUGUACGGAACGAAAAGACUCUGGUUAAUACCUGGGGCCCAUGACGGUACCGUAAGAAUAAGCACCGGCUAACUACGUG
This 482-nucleotide ribosomal RNA is filed under the name uncultured bacterium. Its description in RNAcentral is "partial 16S ribosomal RNA". It matches the Rfam family "Bacterial small subunit ribosomal RNA", at positions 30 to 507 of the family's 1533-position model. The record is from RNAcentral.